UACGAAGGGGGCUAGCGUUGUUCGGAAUCACUGGGCGUAAAGCGUAUGUAGGCGGAUCAGAAAGUUAGAUGUGAAAUCCCUGGGCUUAACCCAGGAACUGCAUUUAAAACUAAUGAUCUAGAAAUUGGUAAAGGUUAGUAGAAUUUCCAGUGUAGAGGUGAAAUUCGUAGAUAUUGGAAAGAAUACCAGAAGCGAAGGCGACUAACUAGGCCAUUUUUGACGCUGAGAUACGAAAGCGUGGGUAGCAAACAGG
This 253-nucleotide ribosomal RNA is filed under the name uncultured bacterium. RNAcentral's name for it is "partial 16S ribosomal RNA". It matches the Rfam family "Bacterial small subunit ribosomal RNA", at positions 524 to 776 of the family's 1533-position model. The record is from RNAcentral.